RNAcentral lists this ribosomal RNA (477 nucleotides) under uncultured bacterium. RNAcentral's name for it is "partial 16S ribosomal RNA". It matches the Rfam family "Bacterial small subunit ribosomal RNA", at positions 30 to 507 of the family's 1533-position model. The record is from RNAcentral.
AUUGAACGCUGGCGGCAUGCCUUACACAUGCAAGUCGAACGGUAACAGGUUAAGCUGACGAGUGGCGAACGGGUGAGUAAUGUAUCGGAACGUGCCCAGUCGUGGGGGAUAACUGCUCGAAAGAGCAGCUAAUACCGCAUACGACCUGAGGGGGAAAGCGGGGGAUCGCAAGACCUCGCGCGAUUGGAGCGGCCGAUAUCAGAUUAGGUAGUUGGUGAGGUAAAGGCUCACCAGGCCGACGAUCUGUAGUUGGUCUGAGAGGACGACCAGCCACACUGGGGCUGAGACACGGCCCAGACUCCUACGGGAGGCAGCAGUGGGGAAUUGUGGACAGUGGUCGGAAGCAUGAUCCAGCCAUGCCGCGUGCGGGAAGAAGGCCUUCGGGUUGUAAACCGCUUUUGUCAGGGAAGAAAAGGUUCUGGCUAAUACCUGGGACUCAUGACGGUACCUGAAGAAUAAGCACCGGCUAACUACGUG